RNAcentral lists this ribosomal RNA (395 nucleotides) under uncultured bacterium. RNAcentral's name for it is "bacterial SSU rRNA". It matches the Rfam family "Bacterial small subunit ribosomal RNA", at positions 505 to 898 of the family's 1533-position model. The record is from RNAcentral.
GUGUCAGCAGCCGCGGUAAUACGUAGGGGGCAAGCGUUGUCCGGAUUUAUUGGGCGUAAAGCGCGCGUAGGCGGCGCGGUAUGUCGUGCGUGAAAUCUCCCGGCUUAACUGGGAGGGGCCGUGCGAAACUGCCGGGCUUGAGGUCAGAAGGGGAAAGUGGAAUUCCGGGUGUAGUGGUGGAAUACGUAGAUAUCCGGAGGAACACCAGCGGCGAAGGCGGCUUUCUGGUCUGAUACUGACGCUGAGGCGCGAAAGCGUGGGGAGCGAUCCGGAUUAGAUACCCGGGUAGUCCACGCCGUAAACGAUGAGUACUAGGUGUCGGGGGUAUCGACCCCCUCGGUGCCGUCGCUAACGCAUUAAGUACUCCGCCUGGGGACUACGGCCGCAAGGCUAAA